GAAUCUUUGUUCUUUCUACUUCUAUUAACUUUUUUUUCUGAUUUUUGUAGAUCUGCCAAUAUAUCUUGAAGAUCCGACCAUAAAUCUUGAAGGUAAAUGGGGGAUAUCUACAAAUUUUGAUGGUACACGGCUUUUCAUUAACGACAAUUUUGAUCAGAUGCUGACAUUCAAGGAAAAUGAGCAAAAUUUAUUAUUUUAAUUUUUCUAACUGUACCAACUAAAUUUUUAUUUAUAUUUUGUUCUUCAUUUUAGAUUAUGGUUUCAUUUAUAUUUUAACUACUAUCAGAAUCUUAAUACCAUGUUGGGUCGAAGAUGCUGGAGAAUGAACUUAAGCGUAAUUUGGAUGCCGUUUAUGAUGUGGAUUUAUGUUCUUCUCAGUCUUCCACUAAACCGCCUAAGGGUGAUUGUGAGAACAAUGAAGGUUUGAAUGUGAAGGUGGGUCUUUUGAAUCCAAAGCUGGAAAAGUAG
Long non-coding RNA from Helianthus annuus (common sunflower), 468 nucleotides. RefSeq lists it as uncharacterized. The transcript is spliced from 3 exons. The record is from RefSeq and is a predicted model, not a curated record. NCBI's taxonomy places the organism in Eukaryota, Viridiplantae, Streptophyta, Magnoliopsida, Asterales, Asteraceae.